This 468-nucleotide ribosomal RNA is filed under the name uncultured bacterium. RNAcentral's name for it is "partial 16S ribosomal RNA". It matches the Rfam family "Bacterial small subunit ribosomal RNA", at positions 28 to 507 of the family's 1533-position model. The record is from RNAcentral.
GACGAACGCUGGCGGCGUGCUUAACACAUGCAAGUCGAACGGAAAGGCCCUGCUUUUGUGGGGUGCUCGAGUGGCGAACGGGUGAGUAACACGUGAGUAACCUGCCCUUGACUUUGGGAUAACUUCAGGAAACUGGGGCUAAUACCGGAUAGGAGCUCCUGCUGCUUGGUGGGGGUUGGAAAGUUUCGGCGGUUGGGGAUGGACUCGCGGCUUAUCAGCUUGUUGGUGGGGUAGUGGCUUACCAAGGCUUUGACGGGUAGCCGGCCUGAGCGGGUGACCGGCCACAUUGGGACUGAGAUACGGCCCAGACUCCUACGGGAGGCAGAAGUGGGGAAUAUUGCACAAUGGGCGGAAGCCUGAUGCAGCAAAGCCGCGUGCGGGAUGACGGCCUUCGGGUUGUAAUCCGCUUUCGCCUGUGACGAAGCGUGAGUGACGGUAAUGGGUAAAGAAGCACCGGCUAACUACGUG